Molecule: long non-coding RNA, 419 nt
Organism: Thalassophryne amazonica
Lineage: Eukaryota; Metazoa; Chordata; Actinopteri; Batrachoidiformes; Batrachoididae
Exons: 3
Source: RefSeq, a predicted model, not a curated record
UGGGGAAAAAUGCAUCAGGGGCUUACCCACACUUGAAACUUGCUGGACCGGAGGUUGGUUGCGACCAUCAUUUUUCCAGCUUUGGUAAGUCCACGGUGAGUUUUUCCUCCUAGCAGCCACAAACACGUCAGCCAGCGAAGAGCCUCCUCUGCAGUCUUUGGAUCAUGUUCCUUUAUCCCCACCUGAAGUUCUGGUGACAACAUUCUCAGAAACUGUUCAAGAAUGAUUAUUUCAUUGAUUUGUUCAACUGUUUUACCUUUGGGCUGCACCCAUUUACCAUACAGUUCCUUCAGCCUUAUGUAGAGCUCUUUUGGAGUUUCUUUGGGCUCCACUUGAAGCAAACGGAAGCUUUGCCUAUAGGUUUCACUGUUAGUGUCAUACUUCUGUAAGACUGCUAGUUUCACUUGGUCAUAAUUCAU